UACGUAGGGGGCAAGCGUUGUCCGGAAUUAUUGGGCGUAAAGGGCUCGUAGGCGGUCUGUUGCGUCGGGAGUGAAAACUUACAGCUUAACUGUGAGCGUGCUUCCGAUACGGGCAGACUUGAGGUAUUCAGGGGAGAACGGAAUUCCUGGUGUAGCGGUGAAAUGCGCAGAUAUCAGGAGGAACACCGAUGGCGAAGGCAGGUCUCUGGGCAUUAACUGACGCUGAGGAGCGAAAGCGUGGGGAGCAAACAGG
This 253-nucleotide ribosomal RNA is filed under the name uncultured bacterium. RNAcentral describes it as "partial 16S ribosomal RNA". It matches the Rfam family "Bacterial small subunit ribosomal RNA", at positions 524 to 776 of the family's 1533-position model. The record is from RNAcentral.